AUGCAGGAAAUUUCAGUAAAGACUGAUAUGGAGAAUUGGUGCUUGCUUGAAACUCCCUGCUAAUCCGAACUCAGAAACACUUGGGAAAGUAAACUUGGAGCUUCAGCUGCGGAGAAACCUUGAAGCAGAAUUUCGAUUGCUGAAGCUAAAAACACCCUGGUAGAAUACCUAAUUAAGGUCGACGACGCGCUAAUUACGAUAGAGGCCGUUCUAGUUCCAUUUGCGUCGAGUCGCGAGAGAUAGUCGUCAACGCAUUCCGAGACAUGGAUUCUAGUUAUUGACACCACUACAGGGGUUCGUAUACUGUCGGUUGAUCGAGGUGAGGGGGAUCGCGCAGUAGUUAGCAUUUUCUACCAGCAUGCCUUUUCAGUAGAGGACCACCAGAUAGAGUGCUAUGUUGUACAGCCUGCCUGCACUGGCGAGGGGCUAGGCUGUUUUCGUGUACUUUUCUUUUGAGUUUGAGGUUCAUUUAGUGAUGUUCGUGUUGUACGGCAACUUAGUUUGGAAAUAGCGCUCUGAUACAUGUUAUUUGUUUAUUCGGUA
Ananas comosus (pineapple) is the source of this 543-nucleotide long non-coding RNA. RefSeq lists it as uncharacterized. The transcript is spliced from 4 exons. The record is from RefSeq and is a predicted model, not a curated record. Lineage: Eukaryota; Viridiplantae; Streptophyta; Magnoliopsida; Poales; Bromeliaceae.